This 512-nucleotide ribosomal RNA is filed under the name uncultured bacterium. Its description in RNAcentral is "partial 16S ribosomal RNA". It matches the Rfam family "Bacterial small subunit ribosomal RNA", at positions 28 to 507 of the family's 1533-position model. The record is from RNAcentral.
GAUGAACGCUGGCGGCGUGCCUAAUACAUGCAAGUCGAACGAAACUUCUUUAUCCUCGCGUGUUUGCUCUCACCGAUAGACAGUUGAGUGACGAACGGGUGACUAACCUGUGGGCCACCUACCCAUAAGAGGGGGAUAACCCUUUGAAACAGGUUCUAAUACCGCAUAAGCAUCGAUACUGCAUGGCAACCUUGCAAAAGCUGAGUGUUGUAUCGCUUCUGGAUGGGCUCGUGGCGCAUUAGCUAGUUGGUAGGGUAAAGGCUUACCAAGGCACUGAUGCGUAGCCGAACUGAGAGGGUGAUCGGCCACAUUGGAACUGAGACACGGCCCAGACUCCUACGGGAGGCAGCAGUAGGGAAUCUUCCACAAUGGGCGAAAGCCUGAUGGAGCAACGCCGCGUGGGUGAAGAAGGUCUUCGGAUCGUAAAACCCUGUUGUUAGAGAAGAAAGUGCGUGUGAGUAACUGUUCACGUUUUGACGGUACCUAACCAGAAAGCCACGGCUAACUACGUG